This 800-nucleotide ribosomal RNA is filed under the name uncultured Serratia sp. RNAcentral's name for it is "partial 16S ribosomal RNA". The stretch from base 11 to 447 matches the Rfam family "Bacterial small subunit ribosomal RNA", at positions 9 to 546 of the family's 1533-position model. The record is from RNAcentral. Lineage: Bacteria; Pseudomonadati; Pseudomonadota; Gammaproteobacteria; Enterobacterales; Yersiniaceae.
AAUUCGAUUAGAGUUUGAUCCUGGCUCAGAUUGAUUGCUGGCGGCAGGCUUAACACAUGCAAGUCGAGCGGUAGCACAGGGGAGCUUGCUCCCCGGGUGACGAGCGGCGGACGGGUGAGUAAUGUCUGGGAAACUGCCUGAUGGAGGGGGAUAACUACUGGAAACGGUAGCUAAUACCGCAUAACGUCGCAAGACCAAAGAGGGGGACCUUCGGGCCUCUUGCCAUCAGAUGUGCCCAGAUGGGAUUAGCUAGUAGGUGGGGUAAUGGCUCACCUAGGCGACGAUCCCUAGCGGGUCUGAGACGAUGACCAGCCACACGGUGACUGAGACACGAUCCAGGCUCCUACGUGAGUCGGCGGUGUGUGAUAUGGUACACUGUGCGGAAGGCGAGUGCAUUAAUGGACGUGUGUGUCGGGAGUGAGUUCGGUCAUUGGUAUGGCGCUGAUCUGGUGCGGCGGCGGGGUCGUGAGGUCGGGAGGGUUGGGACGAUGCCCGUAGGGGAAGAGAGGGUAGCGGUUAGCCAGGGGAUGGUCGUCGGGGUUGGUAGUAGGGGGUACAUGGGUGUCGGAAGUUGUGCGCCUUCGGGAUGUCCAUUGGGACUCCGGCCUGAGGAGGAAGAGUGCGGGUCCGAAGUGACGAGCUGGGGAAAGUGUGGCUCGGGGUGUGCAGGGGAGUGCUGUAUUGGAUGGCCCGGGUGUAGCCGUGCGCACGGUUUAGGGUGCUGAGUUGUGAGUGCGGCCGCACUGAGCGACACGACCGCGAGGUGCGUCGGAGGUGGGGCUCGCUUUUGGGCGGGGGGG